Zalophus californianus (California sea lion) is the source of this 1109-nucleotide long non-coding RNA. RefSeq lists it as uncharacterized. The transcript has 3 exons. The record is from RefSeq and is a predicted model, not a curated record. NCBI's taxonomy places the organism in Eukaryota, Metazoa, Chordata, Mammalia, Carnivora, Otariidae.
AGCUGGUCUUGGGUCUCCUGAUAAAAAACUCUGAGACCGGGGCUUGGUUUACCAUGCAAAAGACCUAUAUCCUGGGGAUCCCUAAGAUGAAGCUGAGAAUGAAGACCGCACAGUGAACCGAGCUGCAUUUCCUUGAAUAGAGAAGGAAUUUUGAACUCCAUUGUCAGAUACUGGGAUCAGAACCCCUCGUGUGAACAGUUGUUGGGAAGCAGGAAGGAGCCAUUGUGAGUGGAAAUGCCUGGUGGUGGGCUUCACACAGAGCAUCGCCUCCAUAAUGUGACUCCUGCCCGCUACCUUUCCUCCUUACUCUGGUCAUGUAUUAUUGCAGAUGCCUGGAGCUGCCCCCACUGAGAUGAUCCCCGAGGCUGGGGUCAUGGGUCAUGGGGCCAUGGAGUCAUGGCAGAGGCAUAUAAGGGUGGGGCCGUGCAAGAGGUCCACCCCGAUGCCAGCAACGGGGUGUAAAUGCCUGAAGAAUUUAAAAACGAUUAUAAAACCAGCUAAAAUGAGAUUUGCUUUUCAUUACCACCAUGUGCUCCUGAUUCUAAAUAAUGUCAUGAUAACAUAUCUUCCCUGGAAACAGUUUUUAAUGAUCUAAAUUUGAAGCAAUAGCUGUGGUUAUUGUUGGGUUUCAGUGCUAUGUGUAAGCUUCAAAUCAGCACAUUUUUAUUAUGUUUCCUUCAAUACACAUUGUAUUUUAUAUGAAAGUGAAUUCAGAGAAUUCCUAGUUUUGUGGGAAUAAGCUACACGCUUUUAUUUCAUGAACAAGUUCAUAAAGGUUUGGAAUCAUUCGAGCUUACGUCACACGGGGACUGUUUCCCCGACGCCAUUGUACGGCACAUUCCUGCAUUUAAACACUAGAUUUGAGGUAAACAAUCAUUGCAAAAGAUAAAGAAACGGAAUUUGGGUUACAUCCUUUCUGUCAUUCUUUGUGAGCAUUUUGAGUAUUUAUCUCUGUUUGAAAUGUGAAACAAUGACAUUAGUAAACCUGGGGUAGCAUGUUGUUGUUAAGUGUAAAUUUUAGUUCAUAUGUGAAACAUCUUACUGAAUGUGUGCUCUUCUUUUACAAUUAUGAUUGUUUUUAAAUGAAAGAAUGAAUCCCGUAAAUAAAA